Molecule: ribosomal RNA, 775 nt
Filed under: uncultured Catenulispora sp.
Lineage: Bacteria; Bacillati; Actinomycetota; Actinomycetes; Catenulisporales; Catenulisporaceae
Description: bacterial SSU rRNA
Rfam family: Bacterial small subunit ribosomal RNA
Source: RNAcentral
CCCUUCGGGGUGGAUCAGUGGCGAACGGGUGAGUAACACGUGGGUAACCCGCCCCUCACUCUGGGAUAACUCCGGGAAACCGGGGCUAAUACCGGAUACGACCUCCGAGGGCAUCUUCGGGGGUGGAAAGUUUUUCGGUGAGGGAUGGACCCGCGGCCUAUCAGCUUGUUGGUGGGGUAACGGCCUACCGAGGCUUUGACGGGUAGCCGGCCUGAGAGGGCGACCGGCCACACUGGGACUGAGAUACGGCCCAGACUCCUACGGGAGGCAGCAGUGGGGAAUAUUGCACAAUGGGCGAAAGCCUGAUGCAGCGACGCCGCGUGAGGGAUGACGGCCUUCGGGUUGUAAACCUCUUUCAGCAGGGACGAAGCGCAAGUGACUGUACCUGCAGAAGAAGCACCGGCUAACUACGUGCCAGCAGCCGCGGUAAUACGUAGGGUGCGAGCGUUGUCCGGAUUUAUUGGGCGUAAAGAGCUUGUAGGUGGCUCGUUGCGUCGGGAGUGAAAACCCGCGGCUCAACCGCGGGCCUGCUUCCGAUACGGGCGAGCUAGAGUUCGGCAGGGGAGACUGGAAUUCCUGGUGUAGCGGUGGAAUGCGCAGAUAUCAGGAGGAACACCGGUGGCGAAGGCGGGUCUCUGGGCCGAUACUGACACUGAGAAGCGAAAGCGUGGGGAGCGAACAGGAUUAGAUACCCUGGUAGUCCACGCCGUAAACGUUGGGAACUAGGUGUGGGGUCCAUUCCACGGGCUCUGUGCCGCAGCUAACGCAUUAAGUU